AUACGUAGGGGGCGAGCGUUGUCCGGAAUGAUUGGGCGUAAAGGGCGCGUAGGCGGCCCGGUAAGUCUGGAGUGAAAGUCCUGUUUUUAAGAUGGGAAUUGCUUUGGAUACUGUCGGGCUUGAGUGCAGGAGAGGUAAGUGGAAUUCCCAGUGUAGCGGUGAAAUGCGUAGAGAUUGGGAGGAACACCAGUGGCGAAGGCGACGUACUGGACUGUAACUGACGCGGAGGCGCGAAAGGGUGGGGAGCAAACAGGAUUAGAUACCCUGGUAGUCCACACUGUAAACGAUGAAUGCUAGGUGUAAGGGGUAUCGACCCCUUCUGUGCCGCAGUCAACACAAUAAGCAUUCCGCCUGGGGAGUACGGCCGCAAGGUUGAAACUCAAAGGAAUUGACGGGG
Molecule: ribosomal RNA, 397 nt
Filed under: uncultured bacterium
Lineage: Bacteria
Description: partial 16S ribosomal RNA
Rfam family: Bacterial small subunit ribosomal RNA
Source: RNAcentral